RNAcentral lists this ribosomal RNA (275 nucleotides) under uncultured bacterium. RNAcentral's name for it is "partial 16S ribosomal RNA". It matches the Rfam family "Bacterial small subunit ribosomal RNA", at positions 399 to 691 of the family's 1533-position model. The record is from RNAcentral.
GCGUGUGUGAAGAAGGCCUUCGGGUUGUAAAGCACUUUCACCCGUGAAGAUGAUGACGGUAGCGGGAGAAGAAGCCCCGGCUAACUCCGUGCCAGCAGCCGCGGUAAUACGGAGGGGGCUAGCGUUGUUCGGAAUCACUGGGCGUAAAGGGCGCGUAGGCGGCUUUGCCAGUCAGGCGUGAAAGCCCCGGGCUCAACCUGGGAACUGCGCUUGAUACUGCGAAUCUAGAGUUCGGGAGAGGAGAGUGGAAUUCCCAGUGUAGAGUUGAAAUUCGU